UUCAGAUCAAUCUGCCUAAAGCCCAUUUCCUCCAGCUCCCUCAGCAGCUUCUCUUCAUUGUGACCAUCUAUGUCAAAAGGCUCAGGUGCUGCGGCGCUGGCUGCAGGUGGAGGCACAGGCACAGAAGCAGGGGCAGGGGCAGAUGCAGGUGCGGAUGCAGGGGCAGGCAUAGAAACAGGCACAGUUGUAGGCAGGAUAGGCACAUUAACAGGUGAAGGUCCAACCGGGGCAAGCAGCUCAGGUGCAGGUGCAGGCACACUAACAGAAGGCACAAAAGCAGCAGCAGUGGCACUGGACAUGGGAACAUCAACGACAAGGUUUGCAGGAGCUGCUGCAGGCAUAGAGGUAGCAACUACUAGAGCAGGCUGAGAUUUCUUGGGCUCUGGAACAUCACUCGGAUAGAAGUGGAAC
This 411-nucleotide long non-coding RNA is filed under the name Setaria italica (foxtail millet). Its description in RNAcentral is "long non-coding RNA (SITA_LNC000532)". The record is from RNAcentral. Lineage: Eukaryota; Viridiplantae; Streptophyta; Magnoliopsida; Poales; Poaceae.